UACGGAGGGUGCAAGCGUUAUCCGGAUUCACUGGGUUUAAAGGGUGCGUAGGUGGCUUUGUAAGUCAGUGGUGAAAUCUCGGAGCUUAACUCCGCAACUGCCAUUGAUACUGCUUAGCUUGAAUCAAGUAGAGGUGGAUGGAAUAUUACAUGUAGCGGUGAAAUGCUUAGAUAUGUAAUAGAACACCGAUUGCGAAGGCAGUUCACUAUGCUUGUAUUGACACUGAGGCACGAAAGCGUGGGGAU
Molecule: ribosomal RNA, 245 nt
Filed under: uncultured Terrimonas sp.
Lineage: Bacteria; Pseudomonadati; Bacteroidota; Chitinophagia; Chitinophagales; Chitinophagaceae
Description: partial 16S ribosomal RNA
Rfam family: Bacterial small subunit ribosomal RNA
Source: RNAcentral